Drosophila santomea is the source of this 448-nucleotide long non-coding RNA. RefSeq lists it as uncharacterized. The transcript is spliced from 2 exons. The record is from RefSeq and is a predicted model, not a curated record. NCBI's taxonomy places the organism in Eukaryota, Metazoa, Arthropoda, Insecta, Diptera, Drosophilidae.
UCGUCGAGGAAAACGACAUCGUGCACGGGAAUAAUGCGGUGAUCGGUGACGUUGAAGUGCAGAUCGCGAAAGGGGCCGUUGAAGAGGCAGCGCAGCGGUGACGUCACCAGCACAGCAUCCUCCGGAGGUAACUGAGUAAAUUUAUGUGAGCGCACUUCAAAUAUUUGCCAAUUUAUGUUUGGCAAUAGCUGCAAUCAGAUACACCGCAACAAACAUCGCAUGCAAACAUCAGAUAAGAUUUUCAGAUUCAGUUUCAACUAAACUACGAAUAUUAUUGAUACCCCGUAGCUGAAAACUGCAGAAAAAUCGCGCCUUUUUUUACCUUGAUUUUGCCAUUGGUCGCCGAGAACAUUGAGAUUUUGAGAUUUCACAGAUUGCAGAGAUUUCAAAGAUAACAGAUGAGCAACAAAUCAAAUAAAAUGCACAAGACACACAGAUACAACACACA